CUCGUAGGCGGUUUGUUACGUCGGAUGUGAAAACCCGGGGCUCAACCCCGGGCCUGCAUUCGAUACGGGCAGACUUGAGUGUGGUAGGGGAGACUGGAAUUCCUGAUGUAGCGGUGAAAUGCGCAGAUAUCAGGAGGAACACCGAUGGCGAAGGCAGGUCUCUGGGCCACUACUGACGCUGAGGAGCGAAAGCGUGGGGAGCAAACA
RNAcentral lists this ribosomal RNA (207 nucleotides) under uncultured bacterium. RNAcentral's name for it is "partial 16S ribosomal RNA". It matches the Rfam family "Bacterial small subunit ribosomal RNA", at positions 568 to 774 of the family's 1533-position model. The record is from RNAcentral.